Molecule: ribosomal RNA, 673 nt
Filed under: Vibrionaceae bacterium GUDS1202
Lineage: Bacteria; Pseudomonadati; Pseudomonadota; Gammaproteobacteria; Vibrionales; Vibrionaceae
Description: bacterial SSU rRNA
Rfam family: Bacterial small subunit ribosomal RNA
Source: RNAcentral
GUCGAGCGGAAACGAGUUGUCUGAACCUUCGGGGAACGAUAACGGCGUCGAGCGGCGGACGGGUGAGUAAUGCCUGGGAAAUUGCCCUGAUGUGGGGGAUAACCAUUGGAAACGAUGGCUAAUACCGCAUAAUAGCUUCGGCUCAAAGAGGGGGACCUUCGGGCCUCUCGCGUCAGGAUAUGCCCAGGUGGGAUUAGCUAGUUGGUGAGGUAAUGGCUCACCAAGGCGACGAUCCCUAGCUGGUCUGAGAGGAUGAUCAGCCACACUGGAACUGAGACACGGUCCAGACUCCUACGGGAGGCAGCAGUGGGGAAUAUUGCACAAUGGGCGCAAGCCUGAUGCAGCCAUGCCGCGUGUAUGAAGAAGGCCUUCGGGUUGUAAAGUACUUUCAGCAGUGAGGAAGGUGGUAGUGUUAAUAGCACUAUCAUUUGACGUUAGCUGCAGAAGAAGCACCGGCUAACUCCGUGCCAGCAGCCGCGGUAAUACGGAGGGUGCGAGCGUUAAUCGGAAUUACUGGGCGUAAAGCGCAUGCAGGUGGUUUGUUAAGUCAGAUGUGAAAGCCCGGGGCUCAACCUCGGAAUAGCAUUUGAAACUGGCAGACUAGAGUACUGUAGAGGGGGGUAGAAUUUCAGGUGUAGCGGUGAAAUGCGUAGAGAUCUGAAGGAAUACCGGU